CGUAGGGAUACAGGAAGCGUUGCUUAGAAACGGGAGAGGGCGCAGGCGAUGGUCUGACUAGCAGCACUGUGGCCGAAUCCAUCCAAGAUGGAGAAGUACGAGAAGAUCAAAGUUGUCGGGAGAGGAGCAUUCGGAAUCGUGCACCUUUGCCGUCGGCGAACUGAUGGUGCUUUGGUGAUUCUGAAGGAAAUCCCAGUGGAGCAGAUGACCAGGGAUGAGCGUCUUGCCGCACAAAAUGAAUGCCAAGUUCUCAAGUUACUCAACCAUCCGAACAUAAUCGAGUAUUAUGAAAAUUUCCUGGAGGACAAGGCACUCAUGAUCGCAAUGGAAUAUGCACCAGGUGGAACUCUUGCUGAUUACAUUCAGAAGCGAUGCAAUUCCCUGCUGGAUGAAGACACCAUACUGCAUUUCUUUGUGCAGAUAUUACUGGCCCUCUACCAUGUGCACAACAAACUUAUUCUUCAUCGCGAUCUUAAAACCCAGAACAUUCUUCUGGACAAGCACCAGAUGAUAGUGAAAAUCGGUGACUUUGGGAUCUCCAAAAUACUAGUUAGCAAGAGUAAGGCGUACACUGUGGUUGGGACCCCAUGUUACAUCUCUCCUGAACUGUGUGAAGGAAAACCAUACAACCAGAAGAGUGAUAUCUGGGCUCUGGGUUGUGUCCUUUAUGAACUUGCCAGCCUCAAAAGAGCCUUUGAGGCAGCUAAUUUACCAGCCUUAGUCCUGAAAAUCAUGAGCGGCACUUUCGCCCCGAUUUCGGACCGCUACAGCCCCGAACUGCGACAGCUCAUCCUCAACAUGCUUAACCUGGACCCAUCCAAACGUCCACAGCUCAACGAGAUCAUGGCCAAUCCCAUCUGCAUCCGGCCCCUGCUGAACCUCUACACCGACAUCGGCAAUGUCCGAAUGCGCAGAAUUGAAAAGCCGCUGGUCACCAUGCAGGCAGGCGCUCACAGCAGACCGGGCAGCCGUGUAACUGGGACCAGAACAAGGGGUGGGUUGUCAAGCUUAAUUUCGACCAAGAUGAUGCACUCCCUGCCCUUGUCAUCGGUGUAUACGUGGGGCAGUGGCAUCUCCACCCCGCUCCGGCUGCCCAUGCUCAACACAGAGGUGGUGCAGGUUUCACUGGGUCGUACACAAAAGAUGGGUGUCACCAAAUCAGGACGUCUCAUAACUUGGGAGGCCCCUACUGUGGGCUGCGGUGAGGCUUCUCUACCUGGUGCUCUGGAGCAGAUGCAGCCCCAGUUUAUCUCCCGCUUCCUAGAGGGGCAGUCUGGGGUCACCAUCAAAUCUGUCUCCUGUGGAGACCUCUUUACAACCUGCAUGACAGACAGAGGCAUAAUUAUGACAUUUGGAAGUGGAAGCAACGGGUGUCUUGGACACGGAAAUUACAAUGACAUAACACAGCCCAAAAUAGUGGAGGCUCUCCUGGGCUAUGAGCUGGUUCAGGUGUCCUGUGGCGCCUCCCAUGUGCUGGCUGUGACCAAUGAGAGAGAGGUCUUCUCCUGGGGAAGAGGAGAUAAUGGUCGACUGGGACUAGGCACCCAGGAUACCCACAAUGCCCCACAACAGGUUAAUAUCCCAGUGGAUUUCGAAGCCCAGCGAGUGUUGUGUGGGGUUGACUGCUCCAUGAUCAUGAGCGCUCAACACCAGAUCCUAGCAUGUGGCAGCAACAGGUUUAACAAGCUAGGCCUGGAUACCAUCAGCAACACAGAGGAGCCCCCCUCCUGCUGUCAGGUAGAAGAGGUCCACAUGUUCCAGCCUGUUCAGUCGUCCCCGCUAAACGUUGAGAAGAUUCUGUACAUCGACAUCGGAACGGCCCACUCUGCCUCGGUGACCGAGAAAGGUCAGUGUUUCACGUUUGGCAGUAACCAGCAUGGACAGCUUGGCUGCAGCUCUCGCCGCAACAGCAGAGUGCCCUUCCGGGUGCCAGGGCUGCAGGGCAUCACCAUGGUAGCGUGCGGAGAUGCCUUCACUCUGGCUGUUGGUUCAGAAGGUGAGGUAUAUACCUGGGGAAAAGGAGCCCGUGGGCGCCUUGGAAGGAAAGAAGAGGAUUCUGGGAUACCGAAGGCAGUGCAGCUUGAUGAGAGUCACCCAUUCACGGUUACAUCAGUGGCUUGUUGCCAUGGCAACACACUCUUGGCUGUGAAACGUAAUGUAGCAUAAUAUGUCUUUUGACAUUCCAUUAGAAAACUCUGGAAUCAUCCAGGCCUACGAGUAACACCAGCCUUACAGUACAGGAUUUUGGGAUCAUUUAUUCAGCAGAAUAAAAUAAUAGAAUUAUAUCAUAGCAAAGCCUAUAUAUAUAUAUAUAUAUCUUCUCAUAUGUUAAGGCAUAUGUUUUGCAAAUAUUCAAGUAUUCAUUUUUCUAUAUUGUCUUUUUAUGACCUCACCACAACUAUGUUUAUCGUUCUUGUUCUUCAACAGACAUUCAUAAUAUAAUGGCAUAUAAUGGCACCAGAACUACCAGGAGUCACUCUACACAUUAUUUUUUACACGUUACUUUUGGCAACACAGUUGGAUUUAUAUUACUGAGAACCUUCUGGAUCUCAAACCUCUGAGCAGUGAGGCACUAGCAGAUUUUGCUUGUUUUGUUGAGUUUAAAGCUUUGCAUCAGGGCCUCAGAUUGUUAAUGAUGACUGAUCUUGGGUUUUUUGGUCUGUUGUGCGCAGUUGAUAAUAAUAGCAGCGUAACACAAGUCUCACUUUGUUUAGGUCCCUUUAAGCUUCAAUAGCCAAGGGCUUCUUACUCAAUGCACCCAAUUGACUUUAGAUGUGCUUUGUUCCCAGGAAUACAAUGAAAACAGGACUAUCAUGUUUGGUGACUGUCCUGCUGGAGUCAGGGGCUUCUUUUCACACAUUCUACAAUGUCUAAAAUCUUUUUUUGAAGACCCUGGCCCUAAGUGACCCUUAAACCUUAACAGUAUCUGCAAGAGAACAGACAGACAACAAACAUUCAGAGCAAUUAUCGACUAUGACGUUUAAAGACUCGACAGGAAGUGAACUGCCAAAGAAUUUCAAGGCAUUACGACAAUUAAUGGAAAGUGCAAUAACAUCUGAGGUACCAGUGUAUGGAUUAUGAAGGAUUACGGUUUUACAUUUCCAAAUCAUAACAUAUAGUGUAGUUUAUGCUUGAAGGCAAUAUCUUUUGUGAAUACUGUUGUGAAUGCUUCAGCUGUGGGAUUGUCGGUCCGCUGCUAUACAAUCACAAAGAAAUUAUGUAACACACUCACAGGAAGUCGGACCGGUCCUGUAGGAUUAUUAUACAACAAUAUGUGACAGAACUGACAUGUAACACAGCUGAGUGCCAAAGAAAAUGUGUUACUGUCUUUCUUCUUUCUAUAAAUUGCAUCAUGCUGUCUAUGAUUUAUAAUUUUUUAACCUUUUGUAAACCAAACAACGUCUGAGGAACAGAAAUUUUAAAAUAAAUGCUUUUGUAACAUUUACAAUGA
This is an RNA transcript of Hemibagrus wyckioides, 3451 nucleotides long. It is a transcript of the gene named NIMA-related kinase 8, with no coding region annotated. NCBI's taxonomy places the organism in Eukaryota, Metazoa, Chordata, Actinopteri, Siluriformes, Bagridae. The record is from RefSeq and is a predicted model, not a curated record. The transcript has 15 exons.